This 246-nucleotide ribosomal RNA is filed under the name uncultured bacterium. RNAcentral describes it as "partial 16S ribosomal RNA". It matches the Rfam family "Bacterial small subunit ribosomal RNA", at positions 15 to 244 of the family's 1533-position model. The record is from RNAcentral.
GAUCAUGGCUCAGGAUGAACGCUGGCGGCGUGCUUAACACAUGCAAGUCGAACGGGAAACAUUUCAUUGAGGCUUCGGCGGAUUUGGUCUGUUUCUAGUGGCGGACGGGUGAGUAACGCGUGGGUAACCUGCCUUAUACUGGGGGAUAACAGCCAGAAAUGGCUGCUAAUACCGCAUAAGCGCACGGGGCCGCAUGGCCCUGUGUGAAAAACUCCGGUGGUAUAAGAUGGACCCGCGUUGGAUUAG